AAUCAAUAAUUUAUAUUUAUACCUAUUAUAAAACCAGUUGCGUUGUUUUUGCGAUAUUUCAAUAACACGUUGUAUACUUACGCAUAUUGUUCCUGAUUUACUCUUCUAAGGCGGCUAUUUUUACAUUAUUUUAAGGUAAGGCAGUUAUUUUGUCUAUUUCUUAAGUUUGCCGUACAUUUGUUAUAAUAUUCUAAGUGCUUUGUUUUAGUCGAGAUCUCAAAUAGGUACGUCGUACUCUAACGAUCAGUGGUAGGUAGAAUUAUUUUUGGUACUUUUAUGGUUUUAAAAUAUAUGGCCACACUCACUAAAUGGACCGACGAUCUGGUGAAGGUCGCGGGAAGCACCCGGAUGCGGGUAGCGCAGGGCCGGUUGUUGUCGAAAUCCUUGAGGGAGGCCUUUGUCCAGCAGUGGACGUCAUUUGGCUGAAACUAACGAAUGAAAAAAUAGCCCAAUAAAUUCCAAUUUAUUUAGAAAAAACUGUAAUAAGAACCAAAAUAUCUCUACCUACCCUGAUCUCUAUUACACAUAGUUCCCACUUUAUCUAUAGCAUUGUGACAGUAUUAU
This is a long non-coding RNA of Ostrinia furnacalis (Asian corn borer), 564 nucleotides long. RefSeq lists it as uncharacterized. The transcript is spliced from 2 exons. The record is from RefSeq and is a predicted model, not a curated record. NCBI's taxonomy places the organism in Eukaryota, Metazoa, Arthropoda, Insecta, Lepidoptera, Crambidae.